RNAcentral lists this long non-coding RNA (813 nucleotides) under Homo sapiens (human). RNAcentral's name for it is "long non-coding RNA NONHSAT212319.1". Lineage: Eukaryota; Metazoa; Chordata; Mammalia; Primates; Hominidae. The record is from RNAcentral.
UGAAUCAGGACCAGUGCAAUAAAUCACCCUCAAUACUUCCUGUGAAUGGCAACUGCUGAAGGGAAGCUUCUGCCUCUCAUCAUACACUGCCUCAGGGGGGAACAAAAUAGAUCAUUACAAUGGAGGCCAAAGAGUGGUUGAAUGUCUCUGCCGAAGGCUUUCAAUAAAUAUUUGUUGAAAAAGAAAGGAAGAAAGAAAAUGAAGAAGGAACGAAGGAGGAAAGGAAAGAAGGAAAGAAGGAAGGAAGGAGUUAAUGAAGACUCAAGGAGGAUGUUCUGCUCUGAUUGGCAGGGAGAGUUUGAAGGUGGGUUGGCAGAGACUGUGACCGCAACUGACUGCGUUCUGCAGAAUUAUGGUAAUGAAAUUGGAAGCCAACUUUCGUGAAGCAGAAAGCCUCAAGGUUCCAGGUGCUGUGCUCAGUCCAGGAAUACAAUGAUGAAUACGAUCAAGGCCCUUUCAGAGCUGACACACACUAUACAUAAUGCAUCAAAAAUUGCGUUCUCGCUAUAUUUCUGUUUAUUUGGUUUUAUCUGCAAGAAUAUAGAUAGCAUCUGCUUUGAUAUAAAACUUUUAUGUGUCUUAUGUAGUUGAUUUGUAAAUGUCCUAUCUAUAAAUAUAAAACAAUAAAUUACUAGUUACAGUUAACUUAGGAAAACUUUUAAUCAUGUCCUACAUUUUACACCUUGUAAUUUCUACCAAAUGUUUGUAUUUUUAUGUCUUAUUAAAUAUAAUAAAUAUUUGUCUUAACAUAUUUUAAUAGAAUUCCUCAUAUGUUUUGCAGAAAGCUAAUUAUGGUUUUCCAUGUGAUUUUUC